UACGGAGGGUGCAAGCGUUAUCCGGAUUCACUGGGUUUAAAGGGUGCGUAGGAGGGCAGGUAAGUCAGUGGUGAAAUCUCCGAGCUUAACUUGGAAACUGCCGUUGAUACUAUCUGCCUUGAAUAUUGUGGAGGUGAGCGGAAUAUGUCAUGUAGCGGUGAAAUGCUUAGAUAUGACAUAGAACACCAAUUGCGAAGGCGGCUUACUACAGGAACAUUGACACUGAGGCACGAAAGCGUGGGGAUCAAACAGG
RNAcentral lists this ribosomal RNA (253 nucleotides) under uncultured bacterium. RNAcentral describes it as "partial 16S ribosomal RNA". It matches the Rfam family "Bacterial small subunit ribosomal RNA", at positions 524 to 776 of the family's 1533-position model. The record is from RNAcentral.